CCUACGGGAGGCAGCAGUGGGGAAUAUUGGGCAAUGGGCGCAAGCCUGACCCAGCAACGCCGCGUGAAGGAAGAAGGCUUUCGGGUUGUAAACUUCUUUUCUGAGGGACGAAGAAAGUGACGGUACCGCAGGAAUAAGCCACGGCUAACUACGUGCCAGCAGCCGCGGUAAUACGUAGGUGGCAAGCGUUAUCCGGAUUUAUUGGGUUUAAAGGGUGCGCAGGCGGAUUUUUAAGUCAGCGGUCAAAUCGUGGGGCUCAACCCCAUCCAGCCGUUGAAACUGGGGAUGUAGAGUGUGCGAGAGGUAUGCGGAAUGCGUGGUGUAGCGGUGAAAUGCAUAGAUAUCACGGAGAACCCCGAUUGCGAAGGCAGCAUACCGGUGCACAACUGACGCUCAGGCACGAAAGCGUGGGUAUCGAACAGGAUUAGAUACCCUUGUAGUC
Molecule: ribosomal RNA, 442 nt
Filed under: uncultured bacterium
Lineage: Bacteria
Description: partial 16S ribosomal RNA
Rfam family: Bacterial small subunit ribosomal RNA
Source: RNAcentral